RNAcentral lists this ribosomal RNA (253 nucleotides) under uncultured bacterium. RNAcentral's name for it is "partial 16S ribosomal RNA". It matches the Rfam family "Bacterial small subunit ribosomal RNA", at positions 524 to 776 of the family's 1533-position model. The record is from RNAcentral.
UACGAAGGAUGCAAGCGUUAUCCGGAUUUAUUGGGUUUAAAGGGUGCGUAGGCGGACUUAUAAGUCAGUGGUGAAAUCUCGUUGCUUAACAACGAACGUGCCAUUGAUACUGUAGGUCUUGAGUACAGAUGCCGUUGGCGGAAUGUGUCAUGUAGCGGUGAAAUGCAUAGAUAUGACACAGAACACCGAUCGCGAAGGCAGCUGACGAAACUGUAACUGACGCUGAGGCACGAAAGCGUGGGGAUCAAACAGG